CCUACGGGAGGCAGCAGUGGGGAAUCUUGCGCAAUGGGCGAAAGCCUGACGCAGCCAUGCCGCGUGAAUGAUGAAGGUCUUAGGAUUGUAAAAUUCUUUCACCGGGGACGAUAAUGACGGUACCCGGAGAAGAAGCCCCGGCUAACUUCGUGCCAGCAGCCGCGGUAAUACGAAGGGGGCUAGCGUUGCUCGGAAUUACUGGGCGUAAAGGGAGCGUAGGCGGAUAGUUUAGUCAGAGGUGAAAGCCCAGGGCUCAACCUUGGAAUUGCCUUUGAUACUGGCUAUCUUGAGUACGGAAGAGGUAUGUGGAACUCCGAGUGUAGAGGUGAAAUUCGUAGAUAUUCGGAAGAACACCAGUGGCGAAGGCGACAUACUGGUCCGUUACUGACGCUGAGGCUCGAAAGCGUGGGGAGCAAACAGGAUUAGAUACCCUAGUAGUCCACGCUGUAAACGAUGAGUGCUAGUUGUCGGUCGAGGCGAUGCUGUCGGUGACGCAGCUAUGCAUUAAGACACCUCCGCCGUCGGGAGGUACGGUCGCGAGAAGUUAAACGUAACGUAAAGAAGUUAGAGUCGUUGAGAGUUGCCGACGGCGACGACGAGGGAGGAGG
RNAcentral lists this ribosomal RNA (608 nucleotides) under uncultured bacterium. RNAcentral describes it as "bacterial SSU rRNA". The stretch from base 1 to 520 matches the Rfam family "Bacterial small subunit ribosomal RNA", at positions 338 to 873 of the family's 1533-position model. The record is from RNAcentral.